This 663-nucleotide ribosomal RNA is filed under the name Bacillus sp. (in: firmicutes). RNAcentral describes it as "bacterial SSU rRNA". It matches the Rfam family "Bacterial small subunit ribosomal RNA", at positions 110 to 758 of the family's 1533-position model. Lineage: Bacteria; Bacillati; Bacillota; Bacilli; Caryophanales; Bacillaceae. The record is from RNAcentral.
GUAACACGUAGGUAACCUGCCUAUAAGACUGGGAUAACUCCGGGAAACCGGGGCUAAUACCGGAUAACAUUUUGCACCGCAUGGUGCGAAAUUGAAAGGCGGCUUCGGCUGUCACUUAUAGAUGGACCUGCGGCGCAUUAGCUAGUUGGUGAGGUAACGGCUCACCAAGGCGACGAUGCGUAGCCGACCUGAGAGGGUGAUCGGCCACACUGGGACUGAGACACGGCCCAGACUCCUACGGGAGGCAGCAGUAGGGAAUCUUCCGCAAUGGACGAAAGUCUGACGGAGCAACGCCGCGUGAGCGAUGAAGGCCUUCGGGUCGUAAAGCUCUGUUGUUAGGGAAGAACAAGUGCUAGUUGAAUAAGCUGGCACCUUGACGGUACCUAACCAGAAAGCCACGGCUAACUACGUGCCAGCAGCCGCGGUAAUACGUAGGUGGCAAGCGUUAUCCGGAAUUAUUGGGCGUAAAGCGCGCGCAGGUGGUUUCUUAAGUCUGAUGUGAAAGCCCACGGCUCAACCGUGGAGGGUCAUUGGAAACUGGGAGACUUGAGUGCAGAAGAGGAAAGUGGAAUUCCAUGUGUAGCGGUGAAAUGCGUAGAGAUAUGGAGGAACACCAGUGGCGAAGGCGACUUUCUGGUCUGCAACUGACACUGAGGCGCGAAA